CCUACGGGAGGCAGCAGUGGGGAAUAUUGGACAAUGGGGGGAACUCUGAUCCAGCGACGCCGCGUGAGUGAAGAAGUAUUUCGGUAUGUAACGCUCUAUCAGUAGGGAAGAAAGAAAUGACGGUACCUGACUAAGAAGCCUCGGCUAUAUACGUGCCAGCAGUCGCGGUAAUACGUAGGGGGCAAGCGUUAUUCGGAUUUACUGGGUGUAAAGGGAGAGUAGACGGCGAUGCAAGUCUGAAGUGAAAGGCGGGGGCCCAACACCUGGACUGCUUUGGAAACUGUAUGGCUUGAGUGCAGGAGAGGUAAGUGGAAUUCCUAGUGUAGCGGUGAAAUGCGUAGAUAUUAGGAGGAACACCAGUGGCGAAGGCGGCUUACUGGACUGUAACUGACGUUGAGGCUCGAAAGCGUGGGGAGCAAACAGGAUUAGAUACCCCUGUAGUC
RNAcentral lists this ribosomal RNA (443 nucleotides) under uncultured bacterium. RNAcentral describes it as "partial 16S ribosomal RNA". It matches the Rfam family "Bacterial small subunit ribosomal RNA", at positions 338 to 795 of the family's 1533-position model. The record is from RNAcentral.